AUGAGUUGCAUCAGCUGGAACUGCCGGGGGCUUGGGAACCCCGAGGCAGUUCGAGAACUUCGCAGCAUUGUGAGGUUGGAAGGCCCUGCCCUACUCUUUGCCAUGGAAACAAAAAUCAGAGCAAAAAGAGUAGAGGAUUUGCAGAAUAGUUUGGGUUUUGCUGGUUGUUUUGCGGUAGACAGUGCGGGCCUCAGUGGCGGCAUUGGUCUUUUCUGGUCACGUGAUGUG
Molecule: ribosomal RNA, 228 nt
Filed under: Triticum aestivum (bread wheat)
Lineage: Eukaryota; Viridiplantae; Streptophyta; Magnoliopsida; Poales; Poaceae
Description: partial small subunit ribosomal RNA
Source: RNAcentral